UGUUAUUGCUGCCUUUACACGUCUUCUAACGUUCAAGGCACCUUUACUCUCCCCGUUUGUUCUCUGUGUCUGUAGGUUCCUUGGGAGCAGCUGGAAGCUGGUAGUAAGUGAAGUUUAAAGGCUGUGAUCGCGGAUUGUGACUUGUGCACAAAGCACACUGGCUCAUUCCUGAGUUGCAACUACAAUCGUGGUCACGCAAAGCCAGACAUGUCUUUUGUGAUUCUCACACCUCAAAAAUUGAGAGAAACUGGUAUUUCAUGGAGGGAACAGAUGUGUUAUGACCACUGGUUCGUAAAGACGGUCAUAUAAAAUUAUGGGACAAUAAAAAGGUUUCCUUAGUCAUA
This is a non-coding RNA of Sturnus vulgaris (Common starling), 344 nucleotides long. The record is from RefSeq and is a predicted model, not a curated record. NCBI's taxonomy places the organism in Eukaryota, Metazoa, Chordata, Aves, Passeriformes, Sturnidae.